RNAcentral lists this ribosomal RNA (253 nucleotides) under uncultured bacterium. Its description in RNAcentral is "partial 16S ribosomal RNA". It matches the Rfam family "Bacterial small subunit ribosomal RNA", at positions 524 to 776 of the family's 1533-position model. The record is from RNAcentral.
UACGGAGGGGGCUAGCGUUGUUCGGAAUUACUGGGCGUAAAGCGUACGUAGGCGGCUUUUUAAGUCAGGGGUGAAAUCCCGGUGCUCAACACCGGAACUGCCCUUGAGACUGGAUCGCUUGAUCACGGGAGAGGUGAGUGGAAUUCCGAGUGUAGAGGUGAAAUUCGUAGAUAUUCGGAAGAACACCAGUGGCGAAGGCGGCUCACUGGACCGUUGAUGACGCUGAGGUACGAAAGCGUGGGGAGCAAACAGG